AGACCGACAGCAUUAUUCCCCUCCUGAUACCAAUAAACCGUUCGAAAUAAACGCUGCUAGGCUCUGCGUCCUUCUCGAACGCAUCCAAACCCACUGCGCUGCGCGCCACAUCCUGUUACAGACAUGAUUUACAUUACUCAUUUGAGCAAUCUUGGCACCGCGUGGGAGCUCAGGGUGUGUGAGAUGCACGGAUUUAUUGGAGGGACGAACCGGAACAAAGAAAAAGCGAAACUAAAAGCAGAGGCGCACGAGCAGCGGACAAGGACGCGCGCGGUUAGAGGUAACGUCUUCUCUCGCCGCGUUCCCACGUGCGCGCGGAGUCGCGCAAAUCUCGGGGGGGGUCUCGAGCGUCGGCUUUCUCGCGCUGCGUGGCAAGCGCAGGCUCGCGGCGAUGUGCCGCGGAUGCCCUCGUGCGACACUUCGAGUGCGGAGCGUAAUUGCAGAGAGGGACAGACGUCUGAGACGGACACGGUGUGCAUAGGGAUGGUCCUUUGUUAUUCAGCACAAGGAAAUUAUGAACACUAUUUUGAAAUACUGGAGGAUUUAUUGCCAGCAGAUUAUAUGUUUAAGAAGCCAGAAAGCAGAAACUGUGUUGACAAGGGGAUGAUUUCCUGUCAUGAAUGCAAAGAGCUCAAUUGUACUCUCCUUAAAGAAACACAGAUGGUCAAUUUCACAGAAUUCAGAAGGAAAUAUAAAGAAUGCCAAGACGAGCGGCAAAACUGUACAGUUACACCCACACCAAGGAAAGCUCUGGAAUUCUCCACGGGCACUAUGGGCACUACAAACACUACGAGCAGUACGAACAUUAUGAGCACUACGAGCGCUACGGGGAAUACGAACACUAUGGGGACUACGAGCACUAUGAGCACUAGAAGCACUACGCGGACUACGAACACUACGGGGAUUACAAACACUACGAGCCCUACGAGCACUACGAGGAGUAUGAACACUACGAACACUACGAGCCCUACGAACACUACGAGCCCUACGAACACUACGAGCCCUACGAACACUACGAGCCCUACGAACACUACGAGCCCUACGAACACUACGAGCACUACGCGGACUGCGAACGCUACGGGGACUACGAAGACUACGAGCGCUACGGGGACUACGAGCACUACAAGCAAUAUGCCGCGAGUGAGCACGAUAUUGUAUCCAAGCAGUCCAGCCUCCAGCAAACCAGAACCUUCCUCCACAAGUCUUACAACAGAAUUGCAAACAACAGAUUCAACAGUAACAACGACAAAAUCCCCAACGACAUCCAAAUCACAGUCAGGUAACGGAACCCUGUGCAGUCCGCAGCUCCCAGGAACUGAAAUGUCUAACAUUUUGAAAGCUUCACAAGCAGGUGUGAUUUCAUCACUGACUGCAUUCAUAAUCCUCGUACUGCUUGUAUGCUACCUCUACCUUGAAAACAGACGACUGAAAAGACUGAUGGACUCCGCUGCUGGCAGUGAAGUCGUGUGUAUUUCAGUUCUACGAGAAGGUGACCGUAAUAUCCAGAAUUCUCCAGAGACUGAGGAGUGAACAAAUAAGCUGAUAGUGAAAGUAAAGGGAAGACUGACUGAAACAAGCCUCUGGAAACACUGAUGAAGCUGAUGCUGUGAUAUGUACAGUAGUGGGGAAAAGAACCAUGUAUUCCUGCAUGUUUAAUAAAUGCUGCUGAAAUUGCUAAUAUUGUUACA
RNAcentral lists this long non-coding RNA (1688 nucleotides) under Scleropages formosus (Asian bonytongue). RNAcentral's name for it is "lncRNA (ENSSFOG00015026977.1)". The record is from RNAcentral. Lineage: Eukaryota; Metazoa; Chordata; Actinopteri; Osteoglossiformes; Osteoglossidae.